This 85-nucleotide microRNA precursor is filed under the name Fukomys damarensis (Damara mole-rat). RNAcentral describes it as "mir-764 microRNA precursor family". It matches the Rfam family "mir-764 microRNA precursor family". The record is from Rfam by way of RNAcentral. Lineage: Eukaryota; Metazoa; Chordata; Mammalia; Rodentia; Bathyergidae.
AAUCUAGGAGGCAGGUGCUCACUUGUCCUCUUCCAUGGUUGAAAGAUACAGGGAGGAGGCCAUAGUGGCAACUGUCACCAUGAUU